GCUUAAAUGAAGAGGAAGAAAUUACAGAAGCAUAAGGUAUGCAAAUGUAAUAAAGGGAAAUAAGCAAAAACAAAUUGAUAUACUAACAAGUGACAGAAGGAUUAUAAGAAGAAGAAUCAAAAUUCUUCCUAAUAGAAGAUUCAGACUGAAAGAAUCUUCUAUAAAAAGAUUAAAAAAGGGAUUCACAUUUCUUAUACUUUUCUUCAGGGUUUGCAGAUUACCACAAAGCAAGGGAGGAGAGCUCUAGGAUUUAGAAGAUAAAGCUCCUCAAUAUUUGAGUAGAGACCAACUUUCCCUGCUAAUGAAUCAAACCCCGUUUGGCCAGAUAUUUCUUGUAUAUUAUCCAAAGGCCUAUGAACUCUCCCGGCUAUUACUCUGCAUACUAUCAAAGCUUUCCUUAUUGAUGGGUCUCCCUCAAAUAUUUCAAUAGAUUCAAAAGCUCUGCCACUAGUAGAAGUUGUGAAUACACCUAUUCCACCUUUAAGCUCCUUCUUGACAGAGAACCCAUUUCUAAUAAUUCGACAAACACAGCAUUUCUCAGAUACGCACAAACUCGAGCACCCGUUUAGGCCUAGAGAGCAUGCAACAGUGGUACCGUAGAAUCUCAAAAGUUCAUUCCCAUCAGCAAUACACCGAGGGUGUUUCUUGGGGAGUUUGCUGGCCUUAAUUUUCACCAUCUCUCUAUAUUCUUCAAACCGAGCUAGAGUUCUUUGCAUAUUGUGAACUUUCAAUACUCUCUCAAUUCGACCACAAUGGUUUUCGCUUUUUAGCCAACUAGUCCGGCAUAUGAUUUCAACUAUCUUUCUUGAUGAGUCACCUUCCACAAGUUCAGUGACUGUCAAGUAGAGCAAUCAAAUGAGGUGCUGAGAGAGAAAGCUACUUCAGAAUAUAAGUACAGCAAAUCAUUUAUCAAAAUAAAAAAAAAAAGAUCAGAAUAACAAGAUAUAUAGUCCCUAAUUAAAGCAAGAAAUGAGAUUGGGGGUGUGCCAAAGACUCAUUUCCAACUUAAGCAUUCUUUUCCAAGUCACUAAAAUCUGAACAUUUCGGAUGAGAAACUUGAGUUCGAACAGAAAUGGGUACUGCUCAGUUCCCAUGAAACAGAAAAAAAAAUAAGCAAGCUUCUAUAAGUGCUGAAAAGAAAGAUAAUUAAGAAUCUCUUUUUCCAAUUAAAAGCAAAUGAAGUAGGAAAACUCAGUUGAAUAAUAAUAAUAAUAAAGCAUGUAAGGUUUCAAAAUUUGAAAGAAAAAAAAAGCUUCACCAUUAUCUUAGACUAUUGCAUCCCUUUUCUUAAAGUGAAAAGAGUAAAAGGGCCGCUCAAAUCUGUGGACAGAAGAAUGUAUAUGCGUUGAUACCGUGAGGAUAGGAGAAAAAAGAAGAGGCAGAAGCACUGCAACAAUCCACAAAGAUGCUUUGGACAAAAAUACAAAUAAUACCUAAAAAUAGAAUCGCAUAAUUUGGAAAAUGGCUAAAAUGAAGAGUUCCUCACCAGCAUGUUUGGAAAGAUGGUGAUUUUCAGCAGCUUCCCAUUUGGUAAACUGCUCUCCGCAUUUAUGACAAGUGAUUGAAGACCUAUUAGAAUCUGUAUCCAGCGAGACCCUAGUGCUUGAAUGUCCACCACCACCCAAAAUGCCAGACCCGCCAAAUCCAGACCCUUCCCUCUCUGGUAAAAGAAAUGGAGACUUUCUUGGAGGAGUAGCCGAGCUCCUAAAUGAAGGAUUGAAAUAGUGCAUUGUUGGGUGCCCUCCAGGCCCAGGUGUACCAGGCCUUAAGGUGCCCACAAAAGUUGAACCAACACCACCAUUGUUACCAACAGCAGCACCAUUACCAAUCCCUUCUUGGAACCCGCCAAAACCAGUGAUUUUGAGCUCACACCUUGAGUUACUCAAAAUAACUUCAUGGGUUAUAGGGUUAAGAAACUCACUGCUCCCUAUGGAUCUUGGGCUGCAACUCGGUGGCUUCUCCGUGUGUCUUUUGCUUCCAUGGAUGACAUCUUUGAGAUUCGCUAUGGACCUUGAACACCCUGACCUGCCUGCUUUUCUUGUCAAAAUUGUACUCAACUGCUUCCUUGAUUUUGGGUCAUGAACUUCUGAUGGCUCUGAUUUGCAGUGUAGAGAUUUCUUCAAAGAGAACCACACUGUUGGCAUGCUUCACGUUAUUAUCCUUCUCUACUUUCUUUUUCUUUUUAGGCUUUAAAGAAAGUUUCUGAAAUCACAACCUCUCAAUGUAAAUACUCUUCCUCUCCAUUUUCCAUUUUCCUAGAAAGCGUAUCACUUUGAAUUAAUUACCUUUUCUUUGCUUUUCCACCAUGGAAACUGAAAAGAAGAAUCUGAAUAUACCAUCUAUGUAUACUACUUUCUAGUUUCGGUACAAAGUUUUCUUUUUAUGCAAUUUCCUUUCUACUUUGAUAAACCAACCAGACGGUACAAUAUAAACCAACUUUAGCAAAUAAGCAUGCCGGAAACAUUGAAAAGGCAAAAAAAUAAAAAUAAAAAGAAUCAAACUUUAUAAUCAACCUCCCACAAACAAUCCGAAAAUUUCAAGCACAGUGGUGCUGUAUGCAUUCCAUAUUGAGACCCACAUAACCUUCAUCACAUUAAGCAAAAUUUGGAGCUUUUACUAAAGUGGGUUUUCAUGGAAGGAGGAGGAGGAGGAAGAGGAGAAGAAGAGGGAGAAGAGCACAAAAACAAAACAAAACUAAAAGACAAGAAAUCCCAUUAUAAAAGAAAAAGACAAAAGGAAAAAGAGAAAUUGAAAAUUUUAGAGAAUCUUUGGUCCUUGGAUAACAUGGCAACCAAACAUAAAAAUAAGAAAAGACAUAGCCAGAGGGGAUGACACUAUUAAAUGGCAAGUAGUGUAGAAGGAAUACAGAGAAAAAC
RNAcentral lists this unclassified non-coding RNA (2876 nucleotides) under Hevea brasiliensis (rubber tree). Lineage: Eukaryota; Viridiplantae; Streptophyta; Magnoliopsida; Malpighiales; Euphorbiaceae. The record is from RNAcentral.